GUUCUUGUAGUUAAAAGAUAAUAGUAGUUCUUCAAACUACUGAUUUAGGUUAAAGUCCUGAUAAGAAUA
Molecule: transfer RNA, 69 nt
Filed under: Adelastes hylonomos (Neblina frog)
Lineage: Eukaryota; Metazoa; Chordata; Amphibia; Anura; Microhylidae
Description: tRNA-Glu
Rfam family: tRNA
About the family: Transfer RNA (tRNA) molecules are approximately 80 nucleotides in length. Their secondary structure includes four short double-helical elements and three loops (D, anti-codon, and T loops).
Source: RNAcentral